This 771-nucleotide ribosomal RNA is filed under the name Staphylococcus haemolyticus. RNAcentral's name for it is "bacterial SSU rRNA". It matches the Rfam family "Bacterial small subunit ribosomal RNA", at positions 23 to 776 of the family's 1533-position model. Lineage: Bacteria; Bacillati; Bacillota; Bacilli; Caryophanales; Staphylococcaceae. The record is from RNAcentral.
CUCAGGAUGAACGCUGGCGGCGUGCCUAAUACAUGCAAGUCGAGCGAACGGACGAGAAGCUUGCUUCUCUGAUGUUAGCGGCGGACGGGUGAGUAACACGUGGAUAACCUACCUAUAAGACUGGGAUAACUUCGGGAAACCGGAGCUAAUACCGGAUAAUAUUUUGAACCGCAUGGUUCAAAAGUGAAAGACGGUCUUGCUGUCACUUAUAGAUGGAUCCGCGCUGCAUUAGCUAGUUGGUAAGGUAACGGCUUACCAAGGCAACGAUGCAUAGCCGACCUGAGAGGGUGAUCGGCCACACUGGAACUGAGACACGGUCCAGACUCCUACGGGAGGCAGCAGUAGGGAAUCUUCCGCAAUGGGCGAAAGCCUGACGGAGCAACGCCGCGUGAGUGAUGAAGGUCUUCGGAUCGUAAAACUCUGUUAUUAGGGAAGAACAUAUGUGUAAGUAACUGUGCACAUCUUGACGGUACCUAAUCAGAAAGCCACGGCUAACUACGUGCCAGCAGCCGCGGUAAUACGUAGGUGGCAAGCGUUAUCCGGAAUUAUUGGGCGUAAAGCGCGCGUAGGCGGUUUUUUAAGUCUGAUGUGAAAGCCCACGGCUCAACCGUGGAGGGUCAUUGGAAACUGGAAAACUUGAGUGCAGAAGAGGAAAGUGGAAUUCCAUGUGUAGCGGUGAAAUGCGCAGAGAUAUGGAGGAACACCAGUGGCGAAGGCGACUUUCUGGUCUGUAACUGACGCUGAUGUGCGAAAGCGUGGGGAUCAAACAGG